AGAACGAACGCUGGCGGCAGGCUUAACACAUGCAAGUCGAGCGCACCGCAAGGUGAGCGGCAGACGGGUGAGUAACGCGUGGGAAUCUACCCAACCCUACGGAAUAACACAGGGAAACUUGUGCUAAUACCGUAUACGCCCUACGGGGGAAAGAUUUAUCGGGGUUGGAUGAGCCCGCGUUGGAUUAGCUAGUUGGUGGGGUAAUGGCCUACCAAGGCGACGAUCCAUAGCUGGUCUGAGAGGAUGAUCAGCCACACUGGGACUGAGACACGGCCCAGACUCCUACGGGAGGCAGCAGUGGGGAAUAUUGGACAAUGGGCGAAAGCCUGAUCCAGCCAUGCCGCGUGAGUGAUGAAGGCCUUAGGGUUGUAAAGCUCUUUCAGUGGGGAAGAUAAUGACGGUACCCACAGAAGAAGCCCCGGCUAACUUCGCGCCAGCAGCCGC
RNAcentral lists this ribosomal RNA (444 nucleotides) under uncultured bacterium. Its description in RNAcentral is "SSU rRNA". It matches the Rfam family "Bacterial small subunit ribosomal RNA", at positions 26 to 518 of the family's 1533-position model. The record is from RNAcentral.